UACCAGCAUCCCGAGUGGUCGGGACGAUUAUUGGGCCUAAAGCAUCCGUAGCCGGUCAUGCAAGUCUUCCGUUAAAUCCAGCCGCUCAACGGUUGGGCUGCGGAGGAUACUACGUGGCUAGGAGGCGGGAGAGGCAAGCGGUACUCAGUGGGUAGGGGUAAAAUCCUUUGAUCCAUUGAAGACCACCAGUGGCGAAGGCGGCUUGCCAGAACGCGCUCGACGGUGAGGGAUGAAAGCUGGGGGAGCAAACCGG
RNAcentral lists this ribosomal RNA (253 nucleotides) under uncultured bacterium. Its description in RNAcentral is "partial 16S ribosomal RNA". It matches the Rfam family "Archaeal small subunit ribosomal RNA", at positions 474 to 727 of the family's 1478-position model. The record is from RNAcentral.